CUUCAACGAACCGAGCCACAGGGGCUGUUCGGUGCCGCGGUCCUGGCCGUAGGUGGCGAGCAGGGCCUGUGCCUC
This is a non-coding RNA of Streptomyces mangrovisoli, 75 nucleotides long. It matches the Rfam family "ASpks TB sRNA". NCBI's taxonomy places the organism in Bacteria, Bacillati, Actinomycetota, Actinomycetes, Kitasatosporales, Streptomycetaceae. The record is from Rfam.